This 222-nucleotide ribosomal RNA is filed under the name uncultured bacterium. RNAcentral's name for it is "partial 16S ribosomal RNA". It matches the Rfam family "Bacterial small subunit ribosomal RNA", at positions 328 to 539 of the family's 1533-position model. The record is from RNAcentral.
ACGCUCGACACCUACGGGGGGCAGCAGUAGGGAAUCUUCCACAAUGGACGCAAGUCUGAUGGAGCAACGCCGCGUGAGUGAAGAAGGUUUUCGGAUCGUAAAGCUCUGUUGUUGGUGAAGAAGGAUAGAGGUAGUAACUGGCCUUUAUUUGACGGUAAUCAACCAGAAAGUCACGGCUAACUACGUGCCACAGCCGCGGUAAUCUGAGCGGGCUGGCAAGGC